GCCCGGAUGGCGGAACUGGUAGACGCAAGGGACUUAAAAUCCCUCGAUGCUUUGCAUUGUGCGAGUUCGAUUCUCGCUCCGGGCACCA
Molecule: transfer RNA, 88 nt
Filed under: Desulfobulbaceae bacterium
Lineage: Bacteria; Pseudomonadati; Thermodesulfobacteriota; Desulfobulbia; Desulfobulbales; Desulfobulbaceae
Description: tRNA-Leu
Rfam family: tRNA
About the family: Transfer RNA (tRNA) molecules are approximately 80 nucleotides in length. Their secondary structure includes four short double-helical elements and three loops (D, anti-codon, and T loops).
Source: RNAcentral